Molecule: ribosomal RNA, 468 nt
Filed under: uncultured bacterium
Lineage: Bacteria
Description: partial 16S ribosomal RNA
Rfam family: Bacterial small subunit ribosomal RNA
Source: RNAcentral
GACGAACGCUGGCGGCGUGCUUAACACAUGCAAGUCGAACGGAAAGGCCCUGCUUUUGUGGGCUGCUCGAGUGGCGAACGGGUGAGUAACACGUGAGUAACCUGCGCUUGACUUUGGGAUAACUUCAGGUAACUGUGGCUAAUACCGGAUAGGAGCUCCUGCUGCAUGGUGGGGGUUGGAAAGUUUCGGCGGGUGGGGAUGGACUCGCGGCUUAUCAGCUUGUUGGUGGGGUAGUGGCUUACCAAGGCUUUGACGGGUAGCCGGCCUGAGAGGGUGACCGGCCACAUUGGGACUCAGAUGCGGCCCAGACUCCUACGGGAGGCAGCAGUGGGGAUUAUUGCACGAUGGGCGGAAGCCGGAUGCAGGAACGCCGCGUGCGGGAUGACGGCCUUCGGGUUGUAAACCGCUUUCGCCUGUGACGAAGCGUGAGUGACGGUAAUGGGUAAAGAAGCGCCGGCUAACUACGUG